GGAGGGGCGUUGUUUCCGGUGAAGCGGCAGGACUUCAAAUCCUGUUAAGGACGCCAGCGUUCUUGGGUGGGUUCAACUCCCAUUCCCCUCCG
This 92-nucleotide transfer RNA is filed under the name Alitibacter langaaensis DSM 22999. Its description in RNAcentral is "Pasteurella langaaensis DSM 22999 tRNA-OTHER". It matches the Rfam family "Selenocysteine transfer RNA". Lineage: Bacteria; Pseudomonadati; Pseudomonadota; Gammaproteobacteria; Pasteurellales; Pasteurellaceae. The record is from RNAcentral.